GGCCCCAUCGUCUAUCGGUUAGGACGCCAGGUUUUCAUCCUGGCAAGCAGAGUUCGACUCUCUGUGGGGUCA
Molecule: transfer RNA, 72 nt
Filed under: Candidatus Woesebacteria bacterium
Lineage: Bacteria; Candidatus Woeseibacteriota
Description: tRNA-Glu
Rfam family: tRNA
About the family: Transfer RNA (tRNA) molecules are approximately 80 nucleotides in length.
Source: RNAcentral